AUUGAACGCUGGCGGCAGGCCUAACACAUGCAAGUCGAGCGAGCGGCGGACGGGUGAGUAAUGUCUGGGAAACUGCCUGAUGGAGGGGGAUAACUACUGGAAACGGUAGCUAAUACCGCAUACCAUCAGAUGUGCCCAGAUGGGAUUAGCUAGUUGGUGGGGUAAUGGCUCACCUAGGCGACGAUCCCUAGCUGGUCUGAGAGGAUGACCAGCCACACUGGAAAGGAGAAACGGUCCAGGCUUCUACGGGAGGCAGCAGGGGGGAAACUUCCGCAAUGGACGAAAGUCUGACGGAGGAACGGCGCGGGAGAGAUGACGGCCUUCCGGUUGGAAAGUAUGUUAAGCGGGACGACGGUACCGGAAUAGAAAGCCCCGGCUAACUACGUGCCAGCAGCCGCGGUAAUAC
RNAcentral lists this ribosomal RNA (406 nucleotides) under uncultured bacterium. Its description in RNAcentral is "partial 16S ribosomal RNA". It matches the Rfam family "Bacterial small subunit ribosomal RNA", at positions 29 to 526 of the family's 1533-position model. The record is from RNAcentral.